AUAUUUCCGCAACAAACCUACCAACAAAGAUGUCCAGACUGUCCUCUCCCAGGGGGAGGACACUGAGGUGGCACUUCAUGUGGUCCAGUUGCUGAUGGCCCACUUCACAGAGACCACAGAUGGGCUCAUCCUUCUUGCAGAUUUGUCUGCCACAGUGGCUGAUGUUGAGAGGACCCUCACGCUACCACCAACUCCUCGUCUAAUACUGCUCAGUGGAACAGAGCAUGUGACUGCAGGACGCUGGAUGAUCUGCCUUGAGG
Monopterus albus (swamp eel) is the source of this 260-nucleotide long non-coding RNA. RefSeq lists it as uncharacterized. NCBI's taxonomy places the organism in Eukaryota, Metazoa, Chordata, Actinopteri, Synbranchiformes, Synbranchidae. The record is from RefSeq and is a predicted model, not a curated record. The transcript is spliced from 3 exons.